GACGAAGGGGGCUAGCGUUGUUUGGAAUUACUGGGCGUAAAGCGCGCGUAGGCGGACCUGCAAGUCGGGGGUGAAAGCCCGAGGCUCAACCUCGGAACUGCCUUCGAUACUGCGGGUCUCGAGUCCGGGAGAGGUGAGUGGAAUUCCUAGUGUAGAGGUGAAAUUCGUAGAUAUUAGGAAGAACACCAGUGGCGAAGGCGGCUCACUGGCCCGGUACUGACGCUGAGGCGCGAAAGCGUGGGGAGCAAACAGG
RNAcentral lists this ribosomal RNA (253 nucleotides) under uncultured bacterium. RNAcentral's name for it is "partial 16S ribosomal RNA". It matches the Rfam family "Bacterial small subunit ribosomal RNA", at positions 524 to 776 of the family's 1533-position model. The record is from RNAcentral.